Long non-coding RNA from Patiria miniata (bat star), 299 nucleotides. RefSeq lists it as uncharacterized. The transcript has 3 exons. NCBI's taxonomy places the organism in Eukaryota, Metazoa, Echinodermata, Asteroidea, Valvatida, Asterinidae. The record is from RefSeq and is a predicted model, not a curated record.
UGAAUGAUGUUAUUUGACCCCUGAAAAUUGAGAAUCAGCCAGAGCAGUCCUGUAUGGCGGUCGUGUGGAAAGGAUGCAACCGUGUGGGAUGGCCGUCACUACAAGCAGUCACUUCUUGACACAAAAUCCUGUCACACAAGGCCAAUGGAUGGUUGGUGCAUUUUCACUGAGUUUGAAUGUGGUAGGAUUCUUAGGAAUCUAGAGCCAGAGAUGAAGCGGAAGCCACAAGGAAGCCGGGGUUUUAUAAACACCACAGAAAGUUGGUUCACUUGUGUCUCCUCAACCUCACUCGGUGCUAC